Molecule: long non-coding RNA, 304 nt
Filed under: Coffea arabica (coffee)
Lineage: Eukaryota; Viridiplantae; Streptophyta; Magnoliopsida; Gentianales; Rubiaceae
Description: long non-coding RNA (CARA_LNC003547)
Source: RNAcentral
AUGGCUGCAGAAGGGACAACUAGCCUCAUGGAUAUGGAUGAUAAUCCUGUGGUGAAGAAGAGCUGUAGCAGGAAAUGCUGACUUUUGAUGAAAUGUUCAGCUUCCAAACCCACUUAACAUCAGCUUUAGGCACAAUUGAUGAGGAAGCACUUACGGCAAGAAAAAACUUGGCUUCUUUAGAGCAGAAAGCAGCAGUACUAGAAGCAGCCCAAGUGAUGACAUCCGGGGAAUCAUUGCCUAGGAAUCGCUUUAAUUCUAUGCACAAUGAAGGGAGGGAGAGGGAAGGAUAUAUUUUGAAAAUCCC